CAUGUGGCUCAUUACAGCUGAGCUGAGAGGGAAAUAGUCUAUUGUGGAGUUAUUUUCAAGGAAGAAACAGCCCUGGGAAGAGCUGAAAAUAGCCCUUCCCCAGGAAAACACUCCCCAGCACGGGGCAAACACCUGGAGCUGCAUUUCUGCUCUGCCUGUGGGGCCAGAGGCAGCAGCUGGCCCCAGGCUGGCCCAGGAGCUGCAGCUCUGGCCCCUCCCCACCUGUCUUUGGGGAGGGGGAACAAGGCUCAUCUCAAUAAAGCAAAUGUUAGUGGGUAAAAAGUG
Long non-coding RNA from Oenanthe melanoleuca, 285 nucleotides. RefSeq lists it as uncharacterized. The record is from RefSeq and is a predicted model, not a curated record. The transcript has 2 exons. Lineage: Eukaryota; Metazoa; Chordata; Aves; Passeriformes; Muscicapidae.